AGUUAAAGAGCUUUUUCUCCAUAGCUGCUGAAACCAGAACCAAGAAAAAAUGUCCUGGACAGAGGUUUUGCACUAAGAGAAUAUCUUCAGUCCUGUGAUACCUGCUGGAAAGUAUUAAAUGAAUGAAUUAGAUUUUUGACCUCACAACUGGAUAUUUUGAUGGAAUGAAACAUUCUAACUCGCCUUUUUAUAAGCCCAGAAAUCAUUAGUUGCAUGUUUGUUUUUUCCAUUAUUAGCUACAUUCUAAAAUAAAUGUUCUGGGGAGCUCCUGUCAUGGCACAGCGGAAACAAAUCUGACUAGGAACCAUGAGGUUAUGGGUUCAAGCCCUUGCCUCGCUCAGUUGCUGUGAGGUGUGGUGUAGGUCUCAGAUGCUACUCAGAUUUGGUGUGGCUCCACUGGCCUACGCCAGAGCCACAGCAACGCGGGAUCCGAGCUGCGUCUGCAACCUACACCACAGCUCACGGCAACGCUGGAUCCUUAACCCACUGAGCAAGGGUAGGGACCGAACCCGCAACCUCAUGGUUCCUAGUCGGAUUCAUUAACCACUGCGCCACGACGGGAACUCCCCUGUUUUCAGUUAUUCUUUUAAAUUCUGUUUUAUUUCAUUGUGAUUAUCUUUAGGCUUUCAUUUCUUAUUCUGACAUUUAUUUUAUUAUCUCAUUCAAGUUUCAAAUUUUUAUUGUUUCAGUUUCCUUACGGCAGAAUCCUUUAAUUCUCCUUCCUUCAUGGAGUCCCUGUGUCAUUUGUUAUUUUUAAUUCAAAUUAUUCCUCAGUGCUUUUAGUUUGUUUUUAUACAAGUCUUCCAUGAUUUGCGUAAGGUCUGGGAUUUGAUUUGACCCUACUAAAUCUCUUAAGUUAGUUUUAUGCUAGUAAGUCAUAGCUAGCUUCAUAUUUGAAAAUCAGUCAAUGCAAUCUACUAUGGUAACUAUCCAAAGAAGAAAAACAGGAUGAUCAUAUCAAUUGAUGCAGAAUAGCCAUUUGAGAAUAAUCAAUACUUAGUCACUUAAAAACCUAGGAAUAUGAAGUAGUAUCCUCAGUCUGAUAAAGAACAUCAACAAAAGACCCUACAGGUAACACCGUACUUAAUGACUGAAUGUUCUCCCUGUGAGACCAGGAACAAGGAAAUGUCUGUUCUCAGUACUCCUUGAGGGAACUCCACAGUGAGGCUAUGAAUUCACCUGCUAUGUAAUUCAGUAAACAGUUGAAUUUUGUGUUUAAUUUACAGUAAUAUCAGUUUUUUGGUCCUAAUAGGUAGGAGAUUUUUUUUAAAGGAUGACAUGGAAGCCAUGUGGUUCUCAGACUAUCUGAGCUGAGAAUUAAAAAGGCUGAUCUUGUUCUUUGUAUAUAUAAACACUUAACUAUAAUCAAAAUGAUUCAUCCCAUACCACAGUCGUCAUCACUGCUGUAAUGGUCAAGGGUACCAGUCACUUGGGCUCCCAAAGCACAUGUUCCAUUUGGCACUUCAUCACAACUAAUAGUAGCAAUUAGUGUGGAUUAAUUAAAUUUUAAAUCACUAUAUGCCAUGGAUUACUAGCAUCUCAUCUUCCAUUAGACAGAAGCUCAACACUGUGCCAAGCCCAACAGCAUGAGCAGACUAACUCCCAAAUCCCAUCUUUAUGGUUCAUCUUCUGAAACUCCUCUUGCUAUCAAGUUGGGUCCAAUCAGGAGGCAGAAACUAGACAGUGAUUUAAACAGGAGGCAUAUAAGGAAUUAUUACCCUGUUAUAGAAAAACAACUCUAAAAAUGGAAGGUGAACUCUAAGGGUACCUCAGGGCUUAAGGAGAGGACAAACUUGGAAGUGGGAUUUGGACCUUGUUGAAUAAGAUGUGGUUAUAGACCAUCAAUGGAGAGAAGUUUACUCCAUGACCCACACUAGAGCUGGUCCAUUGUCACUGAAAAAGCAGGAAUAACAGUCUGGACACAUGAGCAGAAGCUUGUAGGCAAGCAUUCAGAGGGAGUUGGGGCACUGCUGUCGACACUUUUGAAUCUUGGAUUUACAUUGACCUUGGUCUGCAGAAGCCAAGCAUACAUAUGUGUAUGGCUCAGGCCAGGGUGGCCCUGGGCCACUUGUGGGGUAAAGAUCAGGUGGUUAGCCUAUGAGGUAGCCAGCUUGGUGUGGCUUAUCUAGCUGAGAAGCGAGUGCCAGGGAGCAGUGACCUGGACUGGGACAGUCCUUUGCUCUUUGGGGCUCCCUGAUGUUCUGCUAUUGCCUGAAUCAAGAGCUGGAGAAAAAGUGCUGUUGUCAGCCACACUCCAAGGCACUGAGCACUGGAGAAAACACAUAGUAAGGAAAAGUAUCAUACUCCUGUGAGCCUGGCGAAUGAACAUAUAGGAAUUAUGAGGAAAACUUCUUUCCUCUGUAGUAUCUCUUGGAGGACACUACUGCCAAAACUUAUAUCAGGCCAGCUGGCAAGGGAAACAUGAAAAAUGCCUAGCUUUCUUGUCUCAGAUUAGGCAAUUAAGUAAAAAUAUAGAGUGGAGAAUCAUCAAAUUGAUAACUGUCUUUUACAUCUUUUUUACCAUUUCUCAUACACAUACGUCUCUUUCACCAUUUCUCAUACUCAUACACACGUACAUCUCAUAUGUAUUUAUUUAAGUGUAUGUAGUGCCUAAAUGAAAAAUUAAAAUGUAUCAUUUUCAAUAAAAUAUGCUCAGCCAUAACUAUAUUAAAGACAUAAUGUAGCAGUCAUGUGCAUUUAUCUAUAAGGAGAAUAACUGCGAAUGUGGCAUUGAG
This 2735-nucleotide long non-coding RNA is filed under the name Sus scrofa (pig). RNAcentral describes it as "lncRNA (ENSSSCG00045017224.1)". The record is from RNAcentral. Lineage: Eukaryota; Metazoa; Chordata; Mammalia; Artiodactyla; Suidae.